This 253-nucleotide ribosomal RNA is filed under the name uncultured bacterium. RNAcentral describes it as "partial 16S ribosomal RNA". It matches the Rfam family "Bacterial small subunit ribosomal RNA", at positions 524 to 776 of the family's 1533-position model. The record is from RNAcentral.
UACGUAGGGAGCAAGCGUUGUCCGGAAUCAUUGGGCGUAAAGCGUGCGUAGGUGGCCUCAUAAGUCCGCUGUGAAAGUCAAAGGCUCAACCUUUGAAAGCCGGUGGAUACUGUGGGGCUAGAGUACGGAAGAGGCGAGUGGAAUUCCUGGUGUAGCGGUGGAAUGCGCAGAUAUCAGGAGGAACGCCAAUAGCGAAGGCAGCUCGCUGGGACGUUACUGACACUGAGGCGCGAAAGCGUGGGGAGCGAACAGG